RNAcentral lists this ribosomal RNA (440 nucleotides) under uncultured bacterium. RNAcentral's name for it is "partial 16S ribosomal RNA". It matches the Rfam family "Bacterial small subunit ribosomal RNA", at positions 338 to 795 of the family's 1533-position model. The record is from RNAcentral.
CCUACGGGAGGCAGCAGUGGGGAAUAUUGCACAAUGGGGGAAACCCUGAUGCAGCAACGCCGCGUGAGUGAAGAAGUAUCUCGGUAUGGAAAGCUUCAUCAGUAGGGAAGAAGAUCACGGCACCUGAUUAAGAAGCCCCGGCCAACUACGUGCCAGCAGCCGCGGCAAUACGGAGGGGGCAAGCGUUAUCCGGAUUUACUGGGUGUAAAGGGAGCGCAGACGGCUGUGCAAGUCAGGAGUGAAAGCCUGGGGCCCAACCCCGGAACUGCCCUGGAAACGGUGCGGCUAGAGUACAGGAGGGGCAGGCGGAAUUCCUGGUGUAGCGGUGAAAUGCGUAGAUAUUAGGAGGAACACCAAUGGCGAAGGCAGCCUGCUAGACAGUAACUGACAUUGAGGCUCGAAAGCGUGGGGAGCAAACAGGAUUAGAUACCCGUGUAGUC